RNAcentral lists this ribosomal RNA (227 nucleotides) under uncultured beta proteobacterium. RNAcentral describes it as "partial 16S ribosomal RNA". It matches the Rfam family "Bacterial small subunit ribosomal RNA", at positions 981 to 1205 of the family's 1533-position model. Lineage: Bacteria; Pseudomonadati; Pseudomonadota; Betaproteobacteria. The record is from RNAcentral.
AUUGACAUGUAUGGAACCCUGCUGAGAGGUGGGGGUGCCCGAAAGGGAGCCAUAACACAGGUGCUGCAUGGCUGUCGUCAGCUCGUGUCGUGAGAUGUUGGGUUAAGUCCCGCAACGAGCGCAACCCUUGUCCCUAGUUGCUACGCAAGAGCACUCCAGGGAGACUGCCGGUGACAAACCGGAGGAAGGUGGGGAUGACGUCAAGUCCUCAUGGCCCUUAUGGGUAG